Molecule: ribosomal RNA, 460 nt
Filed under: uncultured bacterium
Lineage: Bacteria
Description: partial 16S ribosomal RNA
Rfam family: Bacterial small subunit ribosomal RNA
Source: RNAcentral
CCUACGGGAGACAGCAGUGAGGAAUAUUGGUCAAUGGCCGUAAGGCUGAACCAGCCAAGUCGCGUGAAGGAAGAAGGAUCUAUGGUUUGUAAACUUCUUUUAUAGGGGAAUAAAGGUAUCCACGUGUGGCUAUUUGCAUGUACCCUAUGAAUAAGCAUCGGCUAACUCCGUGCCAGCAGCCGCGGUAAUACGGAGGAUCCGAGCGUUAUCCGGAUUUAUUGGGUUUAAAGGGUGCGUAGGUUGUUUUUUAAGUCAGCGGUGAAAGUUUGUGGCUCAACCAUAAAAUUGCCGUUGAAACUGGAAGACUUGAGUGUGUUUGAGGUAGGCGGAAUGUGUGGUGUAGCGGUGAAAUGCAUAGAUAUCACGCAGAACUCCGAUUGCGAAGGCAGCUUACUAAGCCAUAACUGACACUGAAGCACGAAAGCGUGGGGAUCAAACAGGAUUAGAUACCCGUGUAGUC